Small nucleolar RNA from Nycticebus coucang (slow loris), 75 nucleotides. RefSeq annotates it as small nucleolar RNA SNORD113/SNORD114 family. The record is from RefSeq and is a predicted model, not a curated record. The transcript has a single exon. NCBI's taxonomy places the organism in Eukaryota, Metazoa, Chordata, Mammalia, Primates, Lorisidae.
CUGACCACCGGUGACACCUGGUAGCAUAUGAGUCAUGCACAGUGAAUACCAUGUGUCUGGAACUCUGAGGUUCAC